RNAcentral lists this transfer RNA (65 nucleotides) under Drosophila pararubida. RNAcentral's name for it is "tRNA-Asn". The record is from RNAcentral. Lineage: Eukaryota; Metazoa; Arthropoda; Insecta; Diptera; Drosophilidae.
UAAUUGAAGCCAAAAUUGAGGCUUAUCACUGUUAAUGAUAGAACUGAGUUAUUACUCCAAUUAAG